RNAcentral lists this long non-coding RNA (7206 nucleotides) under Homo sapiens (human). RNAcentral's name for it is "non-protein coding ELFN1-AS1:10". The stretch from base 4527 to 4643 matches the Rfam family "Metazoan signal recognition particle RNA". The record is from RNAcentral. Lineage: Eukaryota; Metazoa; Chordata; Mammalia; Primates; Hominidae.
GUAGGAAGCGUGGCGCCUCAGCCACAAUCGUAAUCACCUUUAAUCUCUUGCUCAAAAUAACCCAAAGUCAAGCUGACCCUCGGUCUAUCUUGAGGCCCUCGGCUGCCCCCGACUUGAAGAUUCUCCCCCGUUGCGUCUAAGUGGCUGCUCCAAGUUCCCGUCCCCGCUGGCAUCUCCCUGCCUCACCAUCCGCCACAUUCCUACACCAAAAGUUGACGCCGCAUUCUGGACUCCUCUCUUUCCUCCCCCCACACCUGGUCCAACUCCAGCAGCAUCUAAUCCACCUGCAGAAGCAUCUGGAAUCACUCCACUCCCACCACGACCGCCCAAACCCACCUCCAGCGGGGACGACGCCCAAGGUACCACCUGGUCUCCUGGCACCCACAAUCCAUUCUCCCUCCACAGCCAGAGGGAGCCUCGCUAACCACCAAGGCGGUCCUGCGGCCCCGCGCAGCCCUGAGGGCGUCCAGUCCUCCACGCGUGGAGGAGAAUCCGGCCUCCAGACACAAUCUCCAGGGCCCACUGGAUGGGCCUCCGCUCCUUCUCACUCCCAGUCCUCUGGUGCAUGCCCCCUUCCUGGCUGAAGAACCUGCACCAGCCGCCCCUCCGCCUGGGAAGCUCCCUCCUGUCAUUCACUCCGAGACGCAGCAGCGUUGCCCCAAGAGCCCUCCCUGCUCUGCACCCCGAAUUCACUCUCAGCCCCCACCUAGUUUAAAUCCUGGCCCUUCUCUCUCCCUGAUGUUCUGCUUGGUUAUUUACUUUUAAUUCAUGUUGGAGCUCCUCCUGCCACUGCAAGAGCAGGAGCUGUGUGUCCUGGUCACUGCUGUGGCAUCCCAGGGCCGGCGCGGUGCCCAGCAGCCAGGACUGGACAGACUCGGGCCACGCUGCGCACGGGCUGGGAUGCGCUGGCUCUGCUUCCUCUUCCGUUGAAUGGGAGUAAAGACCACUCCUCCCAGGGAGCUUGUGGUUUCUCACAAACAUUAACUUCCUUUUGUACUUUUUUAAAGAGGUGGGUCUCGCUCUGUUGCCCGGGCUGGAGUGCAGUGGUACAAUCAUAGCUCACUGCAGCCUUGGCCUCCUGGGCUCAAGCCAUCCUCCUGCCUCAGCUUCCCAAAGCACUGGGAUUACAGGUGUAUGUCACGACACCCGGCCAUCCACUUCAUGUUUGAUCAAGCCCAUAUGCUUCCCUGUUACCCCCUCAGGAAAGAUAUGACAUGCCCGCAGGGGGUUAGGGGGUCCUAACCCUAACCCACAGGGGGUCCUGCAUCUCAGCUUUGGGCCAUACCCCGCCAGGUCUCAUCGGUCUGUGCACAUCCGUACCAGCUUCAGUGUCUGACGCCCCUCACCCAGAUGGAGAGAGGCCUCCACGUGCCCGGCCCUGGGCAGCCACAAGAGCACCACAGGCCACGCCAUGGGACAUGGGACCACGCGCCCUCCGUGGUCUGGGUGGGAAGCCCCUCGAGUGAAGGGACUGGCCAGGGUCGCCUGGGCUAGCGGGGGAAAUGGGCUCCCAGAACCGCUGCGUUCACUCACAGCCGCUGGCGAGGUCUGCUUGUCGCACGGGGACCUCGGCUGUCCUGGGGGCAUCUGCCUGUCCCAGGACUGAGCCUACCAGGCUUCCACCUUGGGACAGCUCUGCCUCCCACAGGCAGGGCCUGGAGGGAGCUGGAAGGGGUGGCCGGCAUACCCUAUUCACAGAGAGUGCUGAUCAGGGGGACAGACACAGAAGCCGGGAGAACAGAGAACGGGGUCAGACUUUAGGCCAGGUGACCCUGGAAAUGUGCUCGGCUCUGGGCCUGUCUGGAGGGUGGAGAAGGGGCAGGAACCACCAGUGGCCUCUGGAAACAGGAGCACUCCUGGGACCCAGCUCUGUCCAACAAGCUGUGGCAGGUAGUGAGCCCCCCAUCAGCAGGGGUGUUCAAGCAGGAGCUGGCGCAGAGGACAGGGCUGCGGGGAGGUGGUGUGAGCGGGAAUGCCCCCGAUGGAAUGAGCUGGCCACUUCAGGGAACGUUGAAGGUGGAGGGAACACUCAAAAGGACGGAGUCUGAAGCACAUUUGACCUUCCCGAAGAAGCUCUCUCUCCUGGAUGGGUGGAGGGCGAGUGGCUUCGCAUCUGAGAGUGGGACCCACCCGCCUCGGACAGCAGAAAAGACCCCGACUCCAGCUGGAAUCUGCUGGGAUUCAGAGCCAGGGGCCAGCCAGUCUACCGCCUGCUGUGCCCCCGAGACCCGGAGCAGGAGGGUCCGUGUUCAUCUCCUGGCCUUGCUCUGUCCACUGAAGGAGGCCGGGCUGGGGAGUAGAACGGAGGGGACUGCUGCCUGCACCACGUCCCCACUGUGUGAGGACUCGGUGAGUGCUGGGGAAGGUCAAGGGGCUAUGGGAACGGUGCCGAGUGCCUGACGACCUUACCAUGUGACCUUGGGCCAUCCACACGACUCAUGGAAGCUGCAGGGCUCCCCCUGCCCUGCCCCCAAGAGCAGGAACACCCUACAAGUGUGCAACAGAGAAAAGCUCCUGUUUCCUCGACGGUCCGCCGGUGUGCAGCACCUCCCGCAUGCAAAGCCCCUCCCCAGGGUUCAGGGAGGCAAAGGUUAGUGUUACCUCAAUUGGACAGAUGGGGAAACAGAGGCUCAGCAUGGGAAAGUCUAGCCAGGAAGUUGAGACUCCCCCACGGCAAGGCCCAGGAAGGCGGCAACAGCACUCCACUGCUACUUAAAAAUGCAGAUUCCCGGAGCGGGCGCAGUGGCUCACACCUGUCAUCCCAGCACUUUGGGAGGCGGAGGCAGGAGGACGGCUUAAGCCCAGGAGUUCGAACCCAGCCUGGGCAAUGUGAGACCCCAUCUUUACAAAAAAUAAAAAAAUUUGCCGGGUGUGGUGGCGUGCGCCUGUGAUCCCAGCUAUUUGGGAGGCUGAGGCAGGAGGAUCCCACCGGCUCAGGAGGUUGAGGCUGCAGUGAGCCAUGACUGUGCCACUGUGUUCCAGCCUGGGUGACAGAGAUCCUGUCUCAAAAAAAAAAAAGAAAAAAAAAGUGAAAAUGCAGAUUCCUGCCUCACCCCAGAAUAUGCAGAGGCAGGCCCCGGAGUGGGAGCCCAGGGCUGGGUGAGACAGACCCUCCCCAAGGCCCUGGCCCUGGAAGGUCGGGAAGGGGGUGCCUGGUCCCCUCUGCCUCCUCCCGACCAGAGCGGGGAGGGCUCAGGGCUGGGGCUGGGGCCCUGAGUGCUGCCUCCUGGGAUACACCAGGCUUAUUCUGCCAUCCUACCUCUGGGCUCGCAGCCCCGGGCUGCUCUGGAGUUAAUUAGAGACUCAAACAUUUAAUGGUCUGUUAUGCUUCCACGGGGCAUCUUUUAAAUUAAAAAACAUGAUGUGUGGCGCCGUUGGAGGGAGAAAUCACUUUGCAAUGGUUCCCUGCUCCGGCGCUGGCAGGGAUGUGGGGUGCGGGUAGCUGGCUGGCCCCGGGAGAGGAGGAAUGACCCUCUCCAGGAACACUGGUCCCCCUCCCACCACCGUCAGAAAGCGCAUCACUUAUGCCAGGCAAGGGUCUAGGUGUCCAAGGAUGCCUGGCACUUUCCUCAUCACGCCCUCAUAACCCUGGCAGCUGGAAGUUCUAUCUUUAGUCUGACCUGAAUCUCUCCAGUUGCUUUCAGGGAUGGCUGGUUUGAGACUGAAGGCAGACAGGUGCUGGUUCUUCUCUUCCUAGUAGUACCCUGACCUCCAGGAGCCCCUGAGCUCUGGGAAAGCCUUUCUGAUGAUCUCAAGCUUGCAGAUUCUGUCCCUGUUCUGACCGGGGGUCACAGCCUAGUGGUAGAACAGGACCUCCUGCUAAGAUGCUGGAAGGACCCUUUGGGGGAGCUGAGGCCUGGCUCCCCUCUCCCCAGGCGCAGGUGCACAGGCGUGUGGGCUGUCUGCAAGCACAGAUCCUGCCUCACAGCACCAUUACCACAAUGACUGAAUCUGUGUUUCCUGGCUGCUGUUAAUUGUGCUAGAGAUUUGGGGCAUGGUUUUGGGGUGAAGGUUAGAAAUGAGCAAUUAGCCCUCAAAUGUUAAACUAAUAAGGGAAAUAAAUGAUCAAGCAAAGUCUAGCCUAGGAGGUUUCAGCAACGGAAGAUGGGCUGGGACGGGGCUGGGAUGCGGCCGCCCCAGGCAGGGAGUGGCCCAGCCCGGUUUGCUCAGUGACCAGGAUGUUUCCACAGUCGGAAGGGGUGCUAUCUCCUGUCUGUUACUAGAAAGUUCUAUCAUAACCCCAGGGAUGCUGACAUAACACCACGAGACAAUUACUGUCCUACCGCCCAGGGCUCCUCCUGCCUCAAGAGGACAGGGAAGGGAUUUGCUGUCCCCACGCCCAUCAGCACCCGAGAGGCCUGUCACUCCCUCUGGAGGCUUCCCCGGCCACCAGCCCUCGCUCACACGGUCACACCAUUUCCACUCCCCAAGGCCACCUGUCGGGCACUGCGUGUCCCGGGGACUGGUGUCCCGGCUGCCAAGGAACCUCAGCUGGAUCUGGCUGAGCUGUGAAAAUAAAAAUGUGGGCUGGGUGCGGUGGCUCACACCUAUAAUCUCAGCAUUUUGGGAAGCCGAGGUGGGUGGAUCACUUGUGGCCAGGAAUUCUAGAACAGCCUGGCCAACAUGGUGAAACCCCAUCUCUACUAAAAAUACAAAAAUUAGCCGGGCGUGGUGGCAGGUGCCUGUAAUCCCAGCUACUCGGAAGGCUGAGGCAGGAGAAUCGCUUGAACCCAGGAGGCAGAGCUUGCAGUGAACUGACAUUGUGCCACUGCACUCCAGCCUGGGUGACAGAGUGAGAUUCUGUCUCAAAAAAGAAAAAAGAAAAGAAAAAUGAGAUGUCUCUUGACCUCAUCACACAGCCUUUCCCCGAAGCUUGUUCAGCGCCGUCCCCACUGUGGCUUGAGCUCACUUCCCAGGAAAGAGGUUUCUGCAGACAAAGCUACUGCCACAGCCUGGAGAUGCUUGCUUUUGACUUGCUUGUCAUCAGCUCCGUGGGGCAUAUUUCUCCCCACCGACAUGGCCUUCCCCUGCUUUGCGGCUCGGGGAACUCCAUGCCAUCCUGAGACAGGACACCCGCCUCUGUCUACCAACCUCUUUACUGUUUGAAUUCUUACAUUUAACUGUCAAUCCACCUGCAGACUAUUUUUCUGGUGUAAAGAAGGAUCAAAAUUGAUUUUCUCCCUUCCCCCAAAUAGGCAACAAAUUGCCCUGACACUAUGUUGAGUAAUCUAUUCCCUCGGGCUGAUUUCUGGUGCUCCAUCUCCACCCAGGCUGGAGCAUCUCCUGCCUCUCCUCCUACCCCCUGCAACCUUACGUGGCUCCCCAGUACCCUGGAGAGAGUCCGCACUUCUUAAAGGGGCUGACUGGGCAUCAGUGAGGGUCCUUGCUGUCUCUCAGCUCUCAUUUUGCCAUUUGAGGCUGUGAUUCGCCUGGACUUCUUGCAUUUUUGCUGACAUGCUGUUUCCUCUGCCUGGGACGUGAACCCCUCCCAGCACCCCAAUGUUCCCCCACUCAGUGGGCUUCUCUGUUCAGCCCCCAGAUUGGGGCUGGAACCUCCCCUCUGUAACCGGGGCUGCCUGUGCUUGCUCCGCUGUGACCCCACGCUGCCAGGCUCUGAUUCCCAUCUAUCUCCACCUAGAGUCCACCUUCUGCACCGAAAGCUCGGGGCAGGUAGGGCUGGAGCUGGGGUUUCCUUUCCAGGCACUGAGUAGGCAGUGCAUGCUGAAUGAAUUCAGGGAAAUAUUAACUCCAUAGCUGCCUAUAACGGAAGGCAACCAGGCCAGGCACCUGGCUCAUGCUUAUAAUCCCAGCACUUUGGGAGGCCGAGGCGGACAGAUCACCUGAGCUCAGGAGUUCCAGACCAGCCUGGCCAACAUGGCAAAACCCCGUCUCUACUAAAAAUACAAAAAUUAGCCAGGCGUGGUGGUGGGGGCCUGUAAUCCCAGCUACUCAGGAGGCUGAGACAGGAGAAUCGUUUGAUUCUCCUGCGGAGAUUGCAGUGAGCUGAGAUCGCACCACUGCACCCCAGCCUGGGCGACAGAGCGAGACUCCGUCUCAAAAAAUAUAUAAAUAAAUAAAGGAAGGCAAUCCGAAAUCGGCAUAUGUCACGGUUUUCCUGGGAUGGGCCCUGUGCAUGUCUGUUUCCCCGUAUAAUGGUGAAUACAUCCUCUUGUCACUCUAAAAGUAUCCCAUUUGGGGCAAUAAAUUGUCAUAUGGUCACCCUCUCAUGAGGCCUCUGUGUGGGACCAUUUCUCCUAUUUCUAUUGAUAACACCUCCCCUCUCUUCUUUUACCAAUUUCAGCACAAUAUCAAUCACCAUAACUCUAUAAAAAGCUUCCAUACCUGGCAGGAAAGACAUCCUUCAUCAUUCUCCCUUUUCUGCGUUUCUUUAGUCUUGCCAUUUGAAUAUUCAUUCAGAUGAACUUUUAGAAUGAUUUUAUCUCGCUUUGUAAAACUCGCUGCGAGCCUGUUGAUGGAUGGUGGUAAACCUGUGAAUUAAUUCUGGAAAGACUUUCGGGUAAUAUUCCAACACGGCACAUCUCACCACUCUUGUUUUCUUUGAUAUCUCUCAGGAUAACUUUAGAGAGUUUUUCAUAAUGAUCCUAAAUUUCUCUUGUCGAUUCAUUCCUGGGAAUUGGGAGGGUUUUGUUGUUUUAUUGGUGCCGUUGUAAGUGGGGACCGUUUAUUUAAUUAUGUGUCUCGACUAGCUGUUGUUAGUUCAGAGAAAAGUUAUUGAUUUGUAUAUGUUGGUUUGAUUUCCAGCCCAGCACCUUCGUAUUAAAUUUUUAUAUUAAGUCAUUUUUUUUCUCAGUUGCUUCUCUUGGGUUUCUAAGAUCUUGAAUCAUUUUGUCAGCAAAUAAUUACAAUUCUUCCCUGUAGACAUCCCAUUUAAUUCUGUUUCAUGUCUUAUUGCUAUGUCCAGAAUUUCUGGACAAUGAUGAAAGCAUUGCUGUUUUUUAAUAUAAGUUUCUGAAUGGGAAUCAUUAAAAAAUCUCAUCACCUAGAAUGAUUCUGGCUGUUGAACUGAGACAGAUUCUUGACUUCGAUAAAGACGUGUGUUUCUGGUUCUAUUUCUAGCAGUUACUUUAAAAUCCGAAAUUGGCACUGGAUUUUAUCAAAUGCCUUUCGUCAUUAUGAAUGUGCAUUCCAGCUGACCUGUGGACACUGUGUAGUUUAUUAAUAGAUUUAUCUAAUAUUAAGCCAACU